This 729-nucleotide ribosomal RNA is filed under the name Streptomyces sp. Sp080513KE-22. RNAcentral's name for it is "bacterial SSU rRNA". It matches the Rfam family "Bacterial small subunit ribosomal RNA", at positions 44 to 787 of the family's 1533-position model. The record is from RNAcentral. Lineage: Bacteria; Bacillati; Actinomycetota; Actinomycetes; Kitasatosporales; Streptomycetaceae.
GUGCUUAACACAUGCAAGUCGAACGAUGAACCCACUUCGGUGGGGGAUUAGUGGCGAACGGGUGAGUAACACGUGGGCAAUCUGCCCUGCACUCUGGGACAAGCCCUGGAAACGGGGUCUAAUACCGGAUACGACCACUUCAGGCAUCUGAUGGUGGUGGAAAGCUCCGGCGGUGCAGGAUGAGCCCGCGGCCUAUCAGCUAGUUGGUGAGGUAACGGCUCACCAAGGCGACGACGGGUAGCCGGCCUGAGAGGGCGACCGGCCACACUGGGACUGAGACACGGCCCAGACUCCUACGGGAGGCAGCAGUGGGGAAUAUUGCACAAUGGGCGAAAGCCUGAUGCAGCGACGCCGCGUGAGGGAUGACGGCCUUCGGGUUGUAAACCUCUUUCAGCAGGGAAGAAGCGAAAGUGACGGUACCUGCAGAAGAAGCGCCGGCUAACUACGUGCCAGCAGCCGCGGUAAUACGUAGGGCGCAAGCGUUGUCCGGAAUUAUUGGGCGUAAAGAGCUCGUAGGCGGCCUGUCACGUCGGAUGUGAAAGCCCGGGGCUUAACCCCGGGUCUGCAUUCGAUACGGGCAGGCUAGAGUUCGGUAGGGGAGAUCGGAAUUCCUGGUGUAGCGGUGAAAUGCGCAGAUAUCAGGAGGAACACCGGUGGCGAAGGCGGAUCUCUGGGCCGAUACUGACGCUGAGGAGCGAAAGCGUGGGGAGCGAACAGGAUUAGAUACCC